This 511-nucleotide unclassified non-coding RNA is filed under the name Hevea brasiliensis (rubber tree). The record is from RNAcentral. Lineage: Eukaryota; Viridiplantae; Streptophyta; Magnoliopsida; Malpighiales; Euphorbiaceae.
AACCAAUUUCCAGUCAUCAUCAACCACAGGGAACCCAGUGAUUCUGCGUUCUACCAACGUUUCCAAGGCUUCAUCUACGGAUGUUGAUGGUUUUACCACAUGUAGAUCAUCUUUUCUUGUCAUGAAAUCACCUACUGUAUAUACACCAUUUCUUGGCUCUACUGAAUUGGCCGUCAAAGUGUUGCUGGCGGUAACGGAAAAAUGGUUGCGCGAAUUCCAAAGGCGUACGGAGAGGAAACAUUUAGCGAAAGUAGCAACUUUGUGGCAUGGCAGAGAUAAGAGCAGACAAGGCAGCUGGUGGUGGAAAGCGGCGGAGCUGCGGUGGAGGGAGACUCCCGACGGCGAGAUAGAUGCCAUGGUCGGAUUUCGGAAGAAGAGAAUUCAGAAGAAUGGGAAGUGAAGGCGUUACGUUACAGCAAUUUAGGAAGGUAGAGAGAGCCACAGAGCAGUUAUCUUUGUUGGUUCUCCUCGCGUUCCUUCCCUUCAAGUGGAGUUCACAAUUGCUUUUGUG